RNAcentral lists this non-coding RNA (28 nucleotides) under Mus musculus (house mouse). Lineage: Eukaryota; Metazoa; Chordata; Mammalia; Rodentia; Muridae. The record is from RNAcentral.
UGUGUCGUGGUUAUGGUGUGCUAGGACA